This 506-nucleotide ribosomal RNA is filed under the name uncultured Glomeromycotina. Its description in RNAcentral is "SSU rRNA". It matches the Rfam family "Eukaryotic small subunit ribosomal RNA", at positions 591 to 1097 of the family's 1831-position model. The record is from RNAcentral. Lineage: Eukaryota; Fungi; Glomeromycota.
CCAAUAGCGUAUAUUAAAGUUGUUGCAGUUAAAAAGCUCGUAGUUGAACUUCGGGGUCUACCCAUUGGUCAGGCUUAAUUGUCUGCACUGGUGAGAUGGAUCUCUACCUUCUGAGGAACUUUCAUGCCAUUUAUUUGGUGUGAUUGGAAAUCAGGACUGUUACUUUGAAAAAAUUAGAGUGUUUAAAGCAGACUAUCGUCUGAAUACAUUAGCAUGGAAUAAUGAAAUAGGACGGACUGAUUCUAUUUCGUUGGUUUCUAGGAUCACCGUAAUGAUUAAUAGGGAUAGUUGGGGGCAUUAGUAUUCAAUUGUCAGAGGUGAAAUUCUUGGAUUUAUUGAAGACUAACUACUGCGAAAGCAUUUGCCAAGGAUGUUUUCAUUAAUCAAGAACGAAAGUUAGGGGAUCGAAGACGAUCAGAUACCGUCGUAGUCUUAACCAUAAACUAUGCCGACUAGGGAUCGGACGAAGUUAAUUUAUAAUGACGCGUUCGGCGCCUUACGGGAAA